Molecule: ribosomal RNA, 432 nt
Filed under: Streptomyces mutabilis
Lineage: Bacteria; Bacillati; Actinomycetota; Actinomycetes; Kitasatosporales; Streptomycetaceae
Description: bacterial SSU rRNA
Rfam family: Bacterial small subunit ribosomal RNA
Source: RNAcentral
GAGUUUGAUCAUGGCUCAGGACGAACGCUGGCGGCGUGCUUAACACAUGCAAGUCGAACGAUGAACCACCUUCGGGUGGGGAUUAGUGGCGAACGGGUGAGUAACACGUGGGCAAUCUGCCCUGCACUCUGGGACAAGCCCUGGAAACGGGGUCUAAUACCGGAUACUGACCCUCGCAGGCAUCUGCGAGGUUCGAAAGCUCCGGCGGUGCAGGAUGAGCCCGCGGCCUAUCAGCUAGUUGGUGAGGUAAUGGCUCACCAAGGCGACGACGGGUAGCCGGCCUGAGAGGGCGACCGGCCACACUGGGACUGAGACACGGCCCAGACUCCUACGGGAGGCAGCAGUGGGGAAUAUUGCACAAUGGGCGAAAGCCUGAUGCAGCGACGCCGCGUGAGGGAUGACGGCCUUCGGGUUGUAAACCUCUUUCAGCAG